Molecule: non-coding RNA, 932 nt
Organism: Arachis ipaensis
Lineage: Eukaryota; Viridiplantae; Streptophyta; Magnoliopsida; Fabales; Fabaceae
Source: RefSeq, a predicted model, not a curated record
CCAACCCUGUGCUCUUGUCUGCUGAAAUAAGGAAAGCGGAAGCUGUUGACAGAUGUUCAAAAAAAUGCCAUUUGACGUAUUGGAGAUGGCACGUCGAUAAAUUUCUGGAGGCACAACUGGAUCCCUACCAUUGGCCGUUUAGAUCAGCACCAACUUCAGGUAAAGAAUAUGGAUGAAUCUGGAAACUCGCUAAUGGAUUUUCUUGCUGUUUCAGGGUCCUGGAUGUGGCGAAGCUCAAAGAAUGGAUCCCCGAACCGGAGGUGCGUAGGAUCACGUCCUUAUCCUCACCGUUGCCUUGGAAGGCAGAUGAUGUUUAUGCUUGGGCUUUGUCCCCCCGACGGCACUUUCAACCUGAAAUCAAUUUAACAAGCCAUCCCUGAAGACGUCGGAACUAAGGAUCGUAUUUUUUCUUUGAUUUGGAAGUGGAAUGGCCCAGAAAGAACAAGAUUUUUUCUUUGACUGGUGGCUCAUGAAGCAAUACUCACCAAUGCAGAAAGGAAUAGAAGGCACCUAACUCCGUCUCCCUGCUGCCCGCGGUGCAGCCACAACAAGGAAACCGUGCUUCACAUGCUGCGUGACUGCCCUUUUGCUGUUGCUGUUUGGAGGAAUUUGCAACCUAUCCCGGAAGUGAGAAACUUCUUCAGAUCAAGCAAGAGAGAUUGAAUGAUAAACAACCUCUUGAGCCCCCACGACAGGUCGGUGUUCUUUGGUGUAGCUCUCUCCUCUCUUUGGUUCUUUAGAAACAAGUUAAUCUUUGAAGGGGAGAACACCGACCCUGCAGCAGUCUCAAUGUCUAUUAGAACAAGAGGUAUUAAAAUCCUUAGUACUCCUUUGAAGAAGGUUAUUCAUAACACCGGCAACAAUUCUAUGGGACUCCUUGUCAAGUGGCAUCCUCCACAUGAGAAUUUUAUCAAGGUCAACGUUGACGGAUC